Molecule: ribosomal RNA, 254 nt
Filed under: uncultured bacterium
Lineage: Bacteria
Description: partial 16S ribosomal RNA
Rfam family: Bacterial small subunit ribosomal RNA
Source: RNAcentral
UACGGAGGGUGCAAGCGUUAUCCGGAUUCACUGGGUUUAAAGGGUGCGUAGGUGGGUUGGUAAGUCAGUGGUGAAAUCUCCGUGCUUAACAUGGAAACUGCCAUUGAUACUACUGAUCUUGAAUUUUCAGGAGGUAAGCGGAAUAUGUCAUGUAGCGGUGAAAUGCUUAGAUAUGACAUAGAAACACCAAUUGCGAAGGCAGCUUACUACAGGAAUAUUGACACUGAUGCACGAAAGCGUGGGGAUCAAACAGG